Molecule: ribosomal RNA, 450 nt
Filed under: uncultured bacterium
Lineage: Bacteria
Description: bacterial SSU rRNA
Rfam family: Bacterial small subunit ribosomal RNA
Source: RNAcentral
GUGGGGAAUAUUGGACAAUGGGGGGAACCCUGAUCCAGCAAUGCCGCGUGUGUGAAGAAGGCCUGAGGGUUGUAAAGCACUAUCAGUUACGAGGAGAGUACCUAGGUUAAGAGCUGAGGUAUAAGACGUUAGUAACAGAAGAAGCACCGGCUAACUCCGUGCCAGCAGCCGCGGUAAUACGGAGGGUGCGAGCGUUAAUCGGAAUUACUGGGCGUAAAGAGUGCGUAGGUGGGUUGAUAAGUUAUUGUUUAAAUUCAUGGGCUUAACCUGUGGUAGUGCAGUAAUACUGUUAAUCUAGAGUGUAGUAGAGGAUAGGGGAAUUUCUGGUGUAGCGGUGAAAUGCGUAGAUAUCAGAAGGAACACCGGUGGCGAAGGCGCCUAUCUGGGCUAAGACUGACACUGAGGCACGAAAGCUUGGGUAGCGAACAGGAUUAGAUACCCUAGUAGUCC